GAAUGGCGUAAUGAUGGCCAGGCUGUCUCCACCCGAGACUCAGUGAAAUUGAACUCGCUGUGAAGAUGCAGUGUACCCGCGGCAAGACGGAAAGACCCCGUGAACCUUUACUAUAGCUUGACACUGAACAUUGAGCCUUGAUGUGUAGGAUAGGGUGGGAGACUAUGAAGUGUGGACGCCAGUCUGCAUGGAGUCAACCUUGAAAUACCACCCUUUAACGUUU
This 223-nucleotide ribosomal RNA is filed under the name Shigella sp. FC1967. RNAcentral describes it as "partial 23S ribosomal RNA". It matches the Rfam family "Bacterial large subunit ribosomal RNA", at positions 1994 to 2215 of the family's 2925-position model. The record is from RNAcentral. Lineage: Bacteria; Pseudomonadati; Pseudomonadota; Gammaproteobacteria; Enterobacterales; Enterobacteriaceae.